This is a long non-coding RNA of Glossina fuscipes, 2474 nucleotides long. RefSeq lists it as uncharacterized. The record is from RefSeq and is a predicted model, not a curated record. The transcript is spliced from 2 exons. Lineage: Eukaryota; Metazoa; Arthropoda; Insecta; Diptera; Glossinidae.
CAUUUUUUUUUUUGUAAACAAAUUGUAAUUUUUUUUUUUUACUUUUUUACAUUUACUAGUGCUUUAAAAAUGACUUAUUCAAUUACAUAAACCUAAAUUAAAGCGAAUUAAUAAAUAAAUAUAAACUAAAAAUCAUACAGACCCUAAAAAUACUGAAAUCUCUUAUAAAAAAAUUUAAACGUUUUGGCAUACACGCCUUUAUAUAAUUGUCGUCAAUUCUCAUUAGCAUAUCAACUAUGGUUUCGGAUCGGAUGGAGAAAAACGCGUGUAACUUGUUUGAGUUUGAGUUCUUUGCAUGAUGUCCGCUGAUUAACCAUUGUAACCAACAUCGAACUGCACACUUGUUGUUAUGGAAACUAAUUGAGAACCGAAUUGUUAUCAGAGCGUAAAAGAAUACUCAAACUUUUAAUCGUACUCUCAUUUGGCAUCAUUUUUUCGGUCUUUGCUGGCAUUGUUAUUGUAAAAUUUUACGUGCUCUGAGAGAAGAUUUCUACUUGGCAUCAUUUAUUCAAUCAUUGCUAGCAUUGUUAACCUAAAAUUUUAUUUACUCUGAGAGAAUUGUUUUGAUUGCUUGGUACCACCAGGGCAUUUCUGGCAGUGUUUUUGUAACAUUUUAUUUUAGAGAGGAAAUAUCUUUCAUAUCUUUCAUUCAUUAUACUCUGAGAAAUCAAUUUUAUUCUCUGCAUUUUUGCUGGGCAUCCAUAAGAAAUGUACAGCAAAGACAGUAAAGUAAAUUUUACUUUGCUUUUCAAUUUCAUUUUUUUCUCUUACUGGUGGAAGAUGUGUGAAUUUUGUAUCGCGGAGACUUGUGUAAAAAAUAAUGUACGUUAUUUUAUUAUUUUCACUUGGAGUUGUUAAGAAUUUGUUUUUGAAUUUUGAACGAUAAGGAUGUGUGGAUUUCAUGUCGCGCGAGAACUUGUGCGAAAUAAUAUACGUAAAUAUAUAUACAAAAUAAUUUCUUAUCGCGAGAGCAUAUGCAAAAUAAUAUUCGUAAAUAUAUUUAAAUAAAUACUUCCACUUCUUUAAACGGUUGAGCCAAAGCGGAUAAAUAUAAACGAGAAAUUUAUGAAAAUUGAAAACAAAAAAUAUAUAUAUGUAUGUGCAUAUAAUAUAUGCACGUAUGUUUGAAAACUUACAAAUCAGUCGGGAAAAAAGUGCAGUGACAUCAAAUGACACACGAAAUAAAACCAAAAAUUUUCUGAAAACAAAAGUACCUCAAGCACAGAAAUGCUUUUAUGAAUUCAACACCAAACCUCAGAGACAAACCAAGCCAACAAAACAAAAAAACAAAAAAAAAAAAUAAAUAAAUAAAUAAAAAAAUAUAAAAAAAAAAAAAAAAAAAAUGAAAAGAACAACGAUUACAUUAAAACCAACCUAAACGUUUUUCCAGGAAACCACAAGAAUAUCACAAAAUUAAAAAAAACAAAAACGAAACAGAACCGACAACUAAACUCCUUUUUAACCAGCAACUAACGUUUACGUUACGUUUUAAGCCAUAAAAUAUCUACAAGAAAAAAAAAUUAAAAAUAUAAAAAAAAAAAAAAAAAACAGAUCAGAACAAUUUUAGGCAAAACCCAUUGGUGUGUUAAAAAUUUUGUGCCUGUGUCUGUGGGGCCGUUCAUGUGCAUGUGCCAGUGUGUUGUGGUUCUUUCGACAAUUUUCGUAUAGAAAAAAGAAACUCCGAAAAAACCUAACCAAUUUACUUUAUGUCUCCGUUCGUCCGCUGCAUUUGCCUCCAGUGAUUUGAUUAAGACAAAAACAAAAACUAAAAAAAAAAAAAAAAACCCUACAAAAAAAAACCAAACUUUAUAUAUGUUUUUAGGCUUCUACCCUAAUGUAUUUGUUUGUGUGAGGUGAUUAUUGUGCAUGCAUUCGCAAUCAAUAUAUAACAACUAAACGCGAGUCUGUGUGGCUCCCCGAUUAUAUGUGUGUCUUUAUACGUUUAUUUGUGUGUGUGUGUGUAUGGAUUUUUGAAAUAAAAAUCGUGUUUUUAUCAACACAACAAGAACGAGAACAAAAGCAAAAACAACAACAACAACAACAACAACAACAAUAAAAAAUAUCUCGGCAAUUGAAACACAUGCAAUCCGCGAACAGUCGGCCAGCGAGUCGUCAGCCAGUCAGCCAGUCAGCUCAGCAAUCGUCUGUUUUGUAUCAAUUCAAUGUGCGAUCUUUAAUCUGGAUUUUUUAACUGUUCCUCGCUGCACACAUACAUACAUAAUUGUUUAAAUAGCAUCAAUUUCUCCACUCCUCGUUGCCUGAACUUUGCAUCGUGGAACGAUUUUAAUAGCAAUUCUAUGGAUAUAAAAUUUUAUUGGUAUGUUGUAAAGAGUUUCUCUUAGUUUUUAUACGCGCAAGAUUAGGAUUUCGUUACUCACCUAAGUGCUCGCAUUUUAUUAAAUUGUAAAAAUCGUCUAUCUUCUAUAUCAUCUGUGAUGAGUGCGCAGACUGAAAACAAAAAAAAAAAAAAUAAA